AACGAACGCUGGCGGCAUGCCUAACACAUGCAAGUCGAACGAGACCUUCGGGUCUAGUGGCGCACGGGUGCGUAACGCGUGGGAACCUUCCCUUAGGUUCGGAAUAACUCCCCGAAAGGGGUGCUAAUACCGGAUAAUGUCUUCGGACCAAAGAUUUAUCGCCUUUGGAUGGGCCCGCGUUGGAUUAGCUAGUUGGUAGGGUAAAAGCCUACCAAGGCGACGAUCCAUAGAUGGUCUGAGAGGAUGAUCAGCCACACUGGGACUGAGACACGGCCCAGACUCCUACGGGAGGCAGCAGUGGGGAAUAUUGGACAAUGGGCGAAAGCAUGAUCCAGCAAUGCCGCGUGAGUGAUGAAGGCCUUAGGGUUGUAAAGCUCUUUUAACCGGGAUGAUAAUGACAGUACCGGGAGAAUAAGCUCCGGCUAACUCCGUG
Molecule: ribosomal RNA, 433 nt
Filed under: uncultured bacterium
Lineage: Bacteria
Description: partial 16S ribosomal RNA
Rfam family: Bacterial small subunit ribosomal RNA
Source: RNAcentral